This 407-nucleotide ribosomal RNA is filed under the name uncultured bacterium. RNAcentral describes it as "partial 16S ribosomal RNA". It matches the Rfam family "Bacterial small subunit ribosomal RNA", at positions 30 to 526 of the family's 1533-position model. The record is from RNAcentral.
AUUGAACGCUGGCGGCGUGCCUAAUACAUGCAAGUAGGACGCAGUUGCGAACGGGUGAGUAACGCGUAGGUAACUGCCUCUUAGAGGGGGAUAACUAUUGGAAACGAUAGCUAAUACCGCAUACUAGUAGAUGGACCUGCGUUGUAUUAGCUAGUAGGUAGGGUAAUGGCCUACCUAGGCGACGAUACAUAGCCGAACUGAGAGGGUGAUUGGCCACAACGGGAAUGAGACACGGCCCAGACUACGACGGGAGGCAGCAGUAGGGAAUUUUCGGGAAUGGGGGGAAACCUGACCGGGCAACGCCGCGGGAGUGAAGAAGGUUUUCGGAUCGUAAAGCUCUGUUGUUAAGGAAGCGGUACUUAACCAGAAAGGGACGGCUAACUACGUGCCAGCAGCCGCGGUAAUAC